Cervus elaphus (red deer) is the source of this 952-nucleotide long non-coding RNA. RefSeq lists it as uncharacterized. The record is from RefSeq and is a predicted model, not a curated record. The transcript has 3 exons. Lineage: Eukaryota; Metazoa; Chordata; Mammalia; Artiodactyla; Cervidae.
CUUUCACAUCCCGUCAGAUGGGUGCCUGAUCAGAAAUAAAGAAAAUUGUAUCAGCUAGUGAAGUUCCUAAAUUGGUCCUAAUUCGCAGAAACGCUUAUGGGCAAGUCCCUUGUCUCAUUUGCCUUUGAUUGUUACCAAAACUUAAAAUACUCAACAGAAUUUUAAUUAAGACUAGAUGAAAAGGAGCACACAUUUAUCCGAGAGAAGAGGAAGGGGAAAAGGACACAAAGAUUCUGGGUUCAUUCAUCUGGGGAGUGUCUAGGUCUCCACCAAGAAGCUAAAGUCUGACUCGGAAGCUGAGAGUGAGGACAGGAAGAAACACCCAGGCAUCUGGAAGAGAAUGCCAGGUACCAUAGGGGUCCCAGUGGAGAUUUCAAAGAUAAUUUUAUAAGCUACCAAGAAAGGGAAGACAUGAAGAGGAAGACAACGAGGGAGAAAGAGAAGAAGAAAAGAGCACUGAUCAGGGUAUUUGGGUUGAAAUAAUAAGAACAGUAGUCAGCCAGCAGCCUUGUGCAAGGUGAAAAUUGGUAGCCACGAGCAAGGCUACAAGGCUGUCAUACAGUGAAAACUGAAGUGGGUCUUUAUGGAUGAGGAGGAAUCCAACAGGAAAAGGAAAAUGUAUUUCAGGCAGGAGGGAUCACACAUGCCAAACGCCAAGGCGGGAUCCCUGGUCUCGGGUGGACGUAUCGUGGUCUACGGAGGGAAAGCCACAAGAAACAGAAGAGCGUCGUCAUGGCCACACUGUGAUGGGCCCACCUUGCCUGAGCAAUGGGACUUUAAUUCAAGUCUUCAGAGAUUUCCGGUGGGAGAAUGGGGGAGACAGUGGCAAUUCACUCCAGUGUUCUUGUCUGAAAAUGCCUUGGACAAAGGGAGCCUGGCGGGCUAUAGCCUGUGGGUUGCAGAGUUGGAAAGACUUAGCGAUUAAACAACAUCAAUGGGGCAAUGGGGCAAA